GGAAAGGUGCUCGAGUGGUUGAAGAGGCACGCCUGGAAAGCGUGUAAACGCCUAAAGUGUUUCACGAGUUCGAAUCUCGUCCUUUCCG
This 88-nucleotide transfer RNA is filed under the name Dysgonamonadaceae bacterium. RNAcentral's name for it is "tRNA-Ser". It matches the Rfam family "tRNA". Rfam says of the family: Transfer RNA (tRNA) molecules are approximately 80 nucleotides in length. Their secondary structure includes four short double-helical elements and three loops (D, anti-codon, and T loops). Further hydrogen bonds mediate the characteristic L-shaped molecular structure. tRNAs have two regions of fundamental functional importance: the anti-codon, which is responsible for specific mRNA codon recognition, and the 3' end, to which the tRNAs corresponding amino acid is attached (by aminoacyl-tRNA synthetases). tRNAs cope with the degeneracy of the genetic code in two manners: having more than one tRNA (with a specific anti-codon) for a particular amino acid; and 'wobble' base-pairing, i.e. permitting non-standard base-pairing at the 3rd anti-codon position. The record is from RNAcentral. Lineage: Bacteria; Pseudomonadati; Bacteroidota; Bacteroidia; Bacteroidales; Dysgonomonadaceae.